GACUGCCUAUCUGACCUCCUUAAUCCAGUUCCCUAGACAACACGAUAUCCCUUACUCAGACUAACUAGCUUCUGAUGCCCGUAAAGACUGUCAAAAAUGUAUGAAUAUCAGGCGGGACCCACAAAUGAGCGCACCAUCCGAUACAGGGAGGGACUCGCUACGACAUAUAUGGUCACCCGUCCAGGGACCGACCAUGUCAAGCAUAGCUUAACCUGCACUGGAUCAACUUGUGCAGCUAUAGUUUAACCCUCUUCCCAGCACUUGAGUGUUUUAAUUGGUAAAACCAAGUAGACUUCAAAACGCGAAAUUUGUGUUUCAGAGAAAAAGUAUUUGUUUCAAAAACUCGACGACUUUUCGAGUGCUGGGCAUUUCCAUUACCACAAAUAUUCAGUAAAUGGACGAGCUACGAUCUUGACCCAGCCACUGUACAUUGGAAUAUCGAUGGGUGAGAACACCGGUUUUACAAUCAGCGAUAUAGUGAAACUAAGGUUGCUGUACAACUACAUUGUGAGGAAAAAAGUAAAUAAUAUGGUGUCAGAAUGUAACCGACUAUUUAUGCCAUCCUCGAUAGCAGGUUUCAAUAAGAGAAAACCGAAUUUUCUGGAUAAACUACCCAGAAACAAGCCACACCAAUAAUUAGGUCUUUCAAAAGAGCGUGCAGAAACCGACGACAGUCAAGGCAAAAACGUUAAUGAGGACACGACGCAGGAGAAAACUAGUUACAAUGAUGAUUAUAUUCAUGAAUCAGGUGAUGUAGGAAAAAAAACUACAGUAAAUGCGGAACAUGAAAAAUUGGGAAUUUCAAUUCUUUCG
This is a long non-coding RNA of Trichoplusia ni (cabbage looper), 813 nucleotides long. RefSeq lists it as uncharacterized. The record is from RefSeq and is a predicted model, not a curated record. The transcript is spliced from 2 exons. NCBI's taxonomy places the organism in Eukaryota, Metazoa, Arthropoda, Insecta, Lepidoptera, Noctuidae.